UAUGAUGGCAUAACUGACAUUUGGAACAUAAUUGUUAACAUGUGACUGUCAAAUUCUGCUUCCUCAAACUGUUCUUAUUACCCUUUCUCAGCAUAUCUCUUCCUCUCUUUAGAAUCCCUGAGACGCCACCAAGGAAACAGAUCUCCUCUAAUGGUGCUGAAGGUUGUAUAAACACAACAAGCACUUGGAUCUUGGCAGUAAUACAUGGGAGAGAGGGCAAACUUGCAGGCUGCUGGAGGAUAGAGGCUGCUCAGACACACCUGCAACAAAGGACCAGAAUUGAGUUACAGUGCUUGGCUGCUCAUUGGAACAUGGCUCUUCAGUAUGUGGAAUCCAGCCAUCCUUGCUCAUCUCUUCAGAGGAACCUUCUCACCACUCCUGGACACAGAGCCUGCAUAGGGUGAUGCUCUGCACGCUUCUCCCUCCGCGCCCCGUAUCUCCUACCCUGGCAGUACCGGAGGAGAGGCUGAAGAAGUUGGGCAUGUCUGAAGCGGCUCAGCCUUGCAGGGAGAGAGGGGGGCAGUAGCUGCUCAGAGCAGCCCGGUGCUUGGAGCAGGAUUUGCCGGUAUGUAUAUGGGUCUGUGCUUUAUGACAGCUGGAAGUAUGAUGGGAGGAGGAAAGGGGGGGUG
RNAcentral lists this long non-coding RNA (629 nucleotides) under Numida meleagris (helmeted guineafowl). RNAcentral's name for it is "lncRNA (ENSNMEG00000011097.1)". The record is from RNAcentral. Lineage: Eukaryota; Metazoa; Chordata; Aves; Galliformes; Numididae.